UGGAAAAGGAUGAGGACUCAUUCCCAUUU
This 29-nucleotide non-coding RNA is filed under the name Rattus norvegicus (Norway rat). Lineage: Eukaryota; Metazoa; Chordata; Mammalia; Rodentia; Muridae. The record is from RNAcentral.